Long non-coding RNA from Micropterus dolomieu (smallmouth bass), 1144 nucleotides. RefSeq lists it as uncharacterized. The record is from RefSeq and is a predicted model, not a curated record. NCBI's taxonomy places the organism in Eukaryota, Metazoa, Chordata, Actinopteri, Centrarchiformes, Centrarchidae. The transcript has 5 exons.
CCUAACCCUUUGCUACGUUUUGUCGGGGCUGAACUCGGCCCAGACCGUCUUUUGUCUGGCCGACAGUCCAAAACUAGAAGAUAUUUAAUUUUAUAGUAGCCAUACAGACAGGCAGCCAUUCCUUACAUUUAAAAUGGAACCAGAUAAUGUUUGGCAUUUCAUCUAAAAAAUCUAUUAUUAAAGUAACUGAUUUAUUUUCUUAAUUAUUUUUUGCUUCAGCAUUUUAAAAAGGUUGAUUUCAGCAUUGAGACAUUUUCUUUUGUUCAGAUUCAGAUAGACUUAAGGAAAAACUCUCCCCCAAAAUCCCCUUUCAAUGGGGGAAAAAUGUAAGAAACCUCAAGAAGAGCAACAGAGAAUCGGGAUGAGUUCCCUCACCCAGGACGGACAGGAAAUAGAUGUCAUGUGUAGGCCCGACAGGAUCAUGGUAAAAUUACAGUUAGCCUAUGACAAUCAGGAUGACAAAAGAUAAACUCUUAAUAUAUGAAGGAUAUGGAUCUUGGGGGACGUCCAGCAACUUUCAGAUGCCACCAAACAGGCUAUCUGCCUCGAAGCUGCAGUUUGAUGUACCUCCACAAGAUGGCAGCAGAGAUCACAACAUAACUUCAUUCAAAUGAAUUCCAGCAUUUAUUGGUUUGUUCAUUCUGGGCUACUGUGGACUCUUUGGAAGAGAACCUGCUCCCUCUGUAGACUUGAAGGGCUCAUUCUCAGUGAAGGAGCACGGGGAGGUCACUAGAGUCUACAAAGGGAUGAGAUGUACCCAAGGGACUAGCUUGCCUCAUGGACUCUUUUCAACCUUGGAGAAAUCGCUGUGGACAGCGAGAGGAGAGGAGGGUGUGUACUGCGAGGGAAACGCUCUGUUCUGAUUUUUCAAAAUGUGGAAGAAGAAUGCUCUUACUUGUGCAAGACAGAUAUCUUUCCCCCCACUCCUUAUGACCCUGUGUGCACAUUCAGCCGCUUCACACUUUCUUGUGAAUUAUAACUUACCUGAGAAAUGAAGACUGUAGCUAGCUUUGCCUUCUGUUUAUAGAGAAAAGACAAUAUUACCUAUUUUACAAUAUUUGCCUAUAAGAAUGAGGACUCUUAGAACCUGUAUAUGCUUCAGUUUGAAAAAUAUAUGUUUACAGUGCUACUGUUUACAUUGUAA